This 696-nucleotide ribosomal RNA is filed under the name uncultured bacterium. RNAcentral describes it as "bacterial SSU rRNA". It matches the Rfam family "Bacterial small subunit ribosomal RNA", at positions 32 to 715 of the family's 1533-position model. The record is from RNAcentral.
AACGCUAGCUACAGGCUUAACACAUGCAAGUCGAGGGGAAACGAUAUUGGAAGCUUGCUUCCGAUAGGCGUCGACCGGCGCACGGGCGAGUAACGCGUAUCCAACCUGCCCAUCACUUGGGAAUAACCUUGCGAAGGUAAGACUAAUGCCCAAUGACAUUUAUAGAAGGCAUCUGAAAUGAAUUAAAGAUUUAUCGGUGAUGGAUGGGGAUGCGUCUGAUUAGCUUGUUGGCGAGGUAACGGCCCACCAAGGCGACGAUCAGUAGGGGUUCUGAGAGGAAGGUCCCCCACAUUGGAACUGAGACACGGUCCAAACUCCUACGGGAGGCAGCAGUGAGGAAUAUUGGUCAAUGGGCGAGAGCCUGAACCAGCCAAGUAGCGUGCAGGAUGACGGCCCUAUGGGUUGUAAACUGCUUUUAUAAGGGAAUAAAGUGAGUCUCGUGAGGCUUUUUGCAUGUACCUUAUGAAUAAGGACCGGCUAAUUCCGUGCCAGCAGCCGCGGUAAUACGGAAGGUCCGGGCGUUAUCCGGAUUUAUUGGGUUUAAAGGGAGCGUAGGCCGGAGAUUAAGCGUGUUGUGAAAUGUAGAUGCUCAACAUCUGCACUGCAGCGCGAACUGGUUUCCUUGAGUACGCACAAAGUGGGCGGAAUUCGUGGUGUAGCGGUGAAAUGCUUAGAUAUCACGAAGAACUCCGAUUG